ACUACCUUGCUAAUUAGAACCUAAAAUGAUUGUACACCGAUACACUCUUGUGGUGAGUAAUUAAUGGAUGAUGGAAAUAAUUAAUUGGAUUAAUUAAGUGUUGUGAUUAAUUUAGAAAGUCUAAAGAAAUCAUAAAAGCGAUAAAAGAUAGUUUUGGGCUUAAAGAAACGUUCGGGUUUAAUUGGGCCCAUUGGGUCUAAACCCAUUGGGCUUUUAUUCAAGCAUUGGAUGACUAGAAAUAAAUAAAAGCCCAAAGCCCAAACCAACACAAAGGGGCUGGCCAUUUAAAGUGGAGAGGGAGAGAUAUUAAGUCAAGUUGUUGACUAGGUUUCUUUUUGUCUAUAUAAGGAACUUUAUAGAGAUUUAUUCCUUAGGGUUUUUGUGUGUUUAAAAAAAACAAAGAGGCAAAAGAAAUAGCUCUAAAACUACACAAAGGCCGGCCACCUUAAGGGUGAUUUAGCUAAUCCUUUUUCACUCUUUUGGUUAUUCCUCCAUCCAUCUCACUACACUAGUGGGUGUGGAUCUUUAGAAGUCUUCUCCUUUGGAGACUAAAGGAGAACCUAGGAGCACUCUUACCAACAAAGUGGAGGAGGCAAGGAGGGAGGCUAGGCUCAAGGAGCAAAGGGCUUGGAGGUGGUCCAUCCUUGGUCUAAAAUCUAGAUCAAGAGGUAUAGAUCUAUUCCUUCACUUUGUUCUUAACUUAAAUGUUUUAGAUGCAUUAUAUAUAAACCUAUGAACCUUGAAGGGGAUUUGCAUGACUAUAGCUUUGAUAUUAUUUGAUAACAUGCUUCCGUUGCUUAUGUAUAUUAAUUUUGAAUUGUAUAUGCAUGCUAGUCAUUUCGAAAUCCCAUAUUAAUCUCUAAUCUUUCCCUUCAGAAGCAGCGGAGGACUUAUUCGCAUGUUUGACGGUAUCUAAAGUAGCAAUAAGCUCUACCAUCAUGCGAGAAGAGAUGGGGGCCCGACUACCUGUAUUCUACAGUUCAUAAGCUC
Molecule: long non-coding RNA, 990 nt
Filed under: Malus domestica (apple)
Lineage: Eukaryota; Viridiplantae; Streptophyta; Magnoliopsida; Rosales; Rosaceae
Description: long non-coding RNA (MDOM_LNC000469)
Source: RNAcentral